RNAcentral lists this ribosomal RNA (253 nucleotides) under uncultured bacterium. RNAcentral describes it as "partial 16S ribosomal RNA". It matches the Rfam family "Bacterial small subunit ribosomal RNA", at positions 524 to 776 of the family's 1533-position model. The record is from RNAcentral.
UACGGGGGGGGCAAGCGUUGUUCGGAAUUACUGGGCGUAAAGGGCUCGUCGGCGGCCAACUAAGUCAGACGUGAAAUCCCUCGGCUUAACCGGGGAACUGCGUCUGAUACUGGAUGGCUUGAGUUUGGGAGAGGGACGCGGAAUUCCAGGUGUAGCGGUGAAAUGCGUAGAUAUCUGGAGGAACACCGAUGGCGAAGGCAGCCACCUGGGCUGACACUGACGCUCAGGCACGAAAGCGUGGGGAGCAAACGGG